Molecule: unclassified non-coding RNA, 239 nt
Filed under: Hevea brasiliensis (rubber tree)
Lineage: Eukaryota; Viridiplantae; Streptophyta; Magnoliopsida; Malpighiales; Euphorbiaceae
Source: RNAcentral
UUUUUUUUUUUUUUUUGGGUAUUGUGGUAAGGUUAAUAUUCUAAGACAUUCUACACAAGUUAUAUACGAAAUAUUGAAUAUCUUUGAAUACGUUUGUUUCAUGGGGUCUUGUGUUUCUCUUGCUCCUUUUCUUGUUAAGUGUUGUGUCUCAAGAGGAUCUCUUUACUUUUGAUGAAUUUUAAAAUUCAGGCUGACAAUUUGAGGCAGCAAACACUACAACAGAUGCACCGAAUAUUGAC